GCAGAUACACCCAGCCGGCGACAGUCACCACACCCUGUCUGUAUUUACUAUGAAUAAAUCUGGCUAGGUUGCUUUGUUGUUACAACGACAGACCAAUUAUUCAAAGCUCAAGUUCAAGUUUAUAUAUUCUGAUUCCUCAGUUGGUUUUCAUAUCAUGACAAAGGAGCAGCUUCCAGGGGAAAAAUAUGAAGAAAUGCUUCCAAAGAAAGAACCAUGUAAGGUUCAGAGAAUGAUCUGCACAUGGAAUAAUAGAACUGAAACUAUUCUUUUUUUAUUAUGAGUACAAUUGUAACCACAGUUUGAACAGAUCCCACCUUUUAUCAACAAAGCGAUUAAGAAUUGUCUUUCAGAAAAUUUGCAAAGUCAUGUAGCCACAGUAUGCAAAAGAGAAGAAAUGUUGAUCUGAAAUCACCAAGGAAACAAAAAUUCUCCUCCCCAUGGAACCAAAGGACCAGGACAUGACUGAAACUUAAAAGUUGGACUCUUAUCCGAAGCGAGGGGUCCGUCAUCCAGGAAGAUCUGGUGUUAAAUUUCCUUCCCCAUCAUACCAUAAAUGUUUAAAACCUUACCAUAAAUGUUUAGAACCUUACCAUAAAUGCUUAAAGCUCAACAAUCAAAACCUGUCCCACCAGCAUUUCUGUAUGCCAACCUGUUCUCCCUAACCUCUUAAAUUUCACCACAAAUCCUGAAUCGGGGAGACAGAUCUAAGAGCACGUCCCCUGUCUCCUUGCAGACUGAUGUUUAGAGAUUUAGUCCUUUGUUUCUCAAGGCCAUUUUCUGCAUUAGAAUUCCCCCUAAAGCUUGUUUAAAAAGUGAAGAGUCCCAGGCCCUGUCAUUGGUAUAUAUCUAGUGUAUUUGACACUCAGAGUGGAUAACUUUUUAACACUCUGUUCUUCUAUACAACAAAAUCAGUUUUAGUAACAAUAGAGAAACAGUAACAAUAAUGGCCAGAAAAGAAAAAGAGACAGUGAAGAUUUUUGUUGAAAUUUCAUAUAAUCAAGGUAGUCAAAAAUUAAGUUAAAAAAUAUUACAGAAACAAAAAGGAAAAAAAAUUUUCAACAGUUUUAU
This is a long non-coding RNA of Diceros bicornis minor, 1068 nucleotides long. RefSeq lists it as uncharacterized. NCBI's taxonomy places the organism in Eukaryota, Metazoa, Chordata, Mammalia, Perissodactyla, Rhinocerotidae. The record is from RefSeq and is a predicted model, not a curated record. The transcript is spliced from 3 exons.